This 254-nucleotide ribosomal RNA is filed under the name uncultured bacterium. RNAcentral describes it as "partial 16S ribosomal RNA". It matches the Rfam family "Bacterial small subunit ribosomal RNA", at positions 524 to 776 of the family's 1533-position model. The record is from RNAcentral.
UACGUAGGGUGCGAGCGUUGUCCGGAAUUAUUGGGCGUAAAGAACUCGUAGGCGGUGUGUCGCGUCGGCCGUGAAAACCUGGGGCUCAACUCUGGGCGUGCGGUCGAUACGGGCAUCACUGGAGUUCGGCAGGGGAGACUGGAAUUCCUGGUGUAGCGGUGAAAUGCGCAGAUAUCGGGAAGAACACCCGUGGCGAAGGCGGCUCUCUGGGACGGUACUGACGCUGAGACGCGAAAGCGUGGGGAGCGAACAGG